Molecule: long non-coding RNA, 752 nt
Organism: Carassius gibelio (silver crucian carp)
Lineage: Eukaryota; Metazoa; Chordata; Actinopteri; Cypriniformes; Cyprinidae
Exons: 3
Source: RefSeq, a predicted model, not a curated record
CUCGCCGUCUCUGCAAGAUUAACGAUGGCAGUUUGCACGCACAGCCACUUAGAAGAUUUACAUCUGGCAGACAGGUUGCUGACGUCGUCAAGCUUCGUUUGAGUCUGCGCGUCAGAAACGGAAGUGCUAAAAAACGCUAAAACUGGGAUUCAUUCGUCUCAAUUGAGUUCAAAUGGGGUCGCUGUGUCCAUUUCUUUUACUGUCUAUGGAGAGGACUCGUCUGACAUUUUCUCUGUUUCUCGUCAGUUAUACCAAAGAAAAGGCCAACAACUGCGACAGAUUUUGAUUUCAGGAGUGUCUUAAAAACCCUCUAAAACAGAGGAGAAGUUCCAAGAAAAUGUCUAACGGGAGCUGCUGACAGAGAUAGAAAACACAGUUUGUUUAUUUCUAAUAAGGAGCUGGAGGCCGUGAAGAUACAGAUCCAUGAUAUUGUGGAGAAGCAGGCCCAGCUGAGCGAGUGGAGAGCUGUGCUGGAAAUAUUCAGGGGUUGAUGCUCAUAAGUCCAGGGUAAGUAUACAGCUAACCCUACUACCACCUCUACUCUGUGUAGUUCUCUGCAAAGGCCCGGUGUACCCAGGAUGCGAUCUUCCCAGAUGUCCUUCACCCUAUUUCAUAGUGUAAGACAUGAUCCAGGCCCUGGGCGACGACCUCUCUCCAUCCGCCGCCUCCGGUCUUCAGGAUCUCCACCAGAACCCGAUUCGCUCCACUUCGCGAGACAGAACAAAACGCUGUGAUCAUCAGAGACUCCAUCG